AACGAACGCUGGCGGCGCGUCUUAAGCAUGCAAGUCGAGCGGGAGGGGCAGCGAUGCCCUGAGAGCGGCGGACGGGUGAGUAACGCGUGGACAACCGACCCUCCGGUGGGGGAUAGCCGAGCGAAAGCGCGGAUAAUACCGCAUGAGACGGAGCGGGGGCGGCCCUGUUCCGGGAAAGCGCCUGCGGGCGCGCCGGGGGACGGGUCUGCGUCCCAUCAGCUAGACGGCGGGGUGAAGGCCCACCGUGGCGACGACGGGUAGCCGGCCUGAGAGGGUGGACGGCCACAUUGGGACUGGGAACGGCCCAGACUCCUACGGGAGGCAGCAGCUAAGGAUCUUCCGCAAUGGGCGAAAGCCUGACGGAGCGACGCCGCGUGGACGAUGGAGGCCGGAAGGUUGUGAAGUCCUUUUCUCGGGGGGGAACAACCGUGCCAGGGAAUGGGCGCGGGGUGACGCGGACCGAGGAAUAAGCCCCGGCAAACUACGUGCCAGCAGCCGCGGUAACACGUAGGGGGCGAGCGUUGUUCGGAUUCAUUGGGCGUAAAGGGCGCGCGGGCGGCCGGGCGAGCCUGCCGUGAAAUCCCCGUGCUCAACACGGGGGGGGUCGGCGGGGACUGUCCGGCUGGAGUACCGGAAGCGGCGGCGGAAUUCCUGGUGUAGGGGUGAAAUCUGUAGAUAUCAGGAAGAACACCGAUGGCGAAGGCGGCCGCCGGGCCGGAUACUGACGCUGAGGCGCGAAGGUGCGGGGAGCGAACAGGUUUAGAUACCCUGGUAGUCCGCACAGUAAACGAUGUGCACCGGGUGGCGGGCGGGAACGCUCGGCACCGAAGCGAACGCAGCAAGUGCACCGCCUGGGGAGUAUGCCCGCAAGGGUGAAACUCAAAGGAAUUGACGGGGGCCCGCACAAGCGGUGGAGCAUGUGGUUUAAUUCGAUGAUACGCGAGGAACCUUACCAGGGCUUGACAUGCGCGGGAGGCGCUCCGAGAGGGGCGCGCCCUUCGGGGCCCGCGCACAGGUGCUGCAUGGCUGUCGUCAGCUCGUGCUGUGAAGUGUUGGGUUAAGUCCCGCAACGAGCGCAACCCCUUCUGCCAGUUGCCAGCAUUCGGUUGGGCACUCUGGCGGGACCGCCGGCGACAAGCCGGAGGAAGGCGGGGACGACGUCAAGUCAUCACGGCCCUUAUGUCCUGGGCGACACACGUGCUACAAUGGCAGGUACAGAGCGAGGCGAGCCUGGAAGGGUGAGCGGACCGCAGAAAGCCUGUCCCAGUACGGACUGGGGCCUGCAACCCGGCCCCACGAAGUUGGAAUCGCUAGUAAUCGCGCAUCAGCAUGGCGCGGUGAAUACGUUCCCGGGCCU
This 1357-nucleotide ribosomal RNA is filed under the name uncultured bacterium. Its description in RNAcentral is "bacterial SSU rRNA". It matches the Rfam family "Bacterial small subunit ribosomal RNA", at positions 28 to 1381 of the family's 1533-position model. The record is from RNAcentral.